CCUACGGGAGGCAGCAGUGGGGAAUCUUGCACAAUGGAGGAAACUCUGAUGCAGCGAUGCCGCGUGAGUGAAGAAGGCCCUUGGGUUGUAAAGCUCUUUCGUCGGGGAAGAAAAUGACUGUACCCGAAUAAGAAGGUCCGGCUAACUUCGUGCCAGCAGCCGCGGUAAUACGAAGGGACCUAGCGUAGUUCGGAAUUACUGGGCUUAAAGAGUUCGUAGGUGGUUGAAAGAGUUAGUGGUGAAAUCCCAGAGCUUAACUCUGGAACUGCCAUUAAAACUUUUCAGCUAGAGUAUGAUAGAGGGAAGCAGAAUUUCUAGUGUAGAGGUGAAAUUCGUAGAUAUUAGAAAGAAUACCAAUUGCGAAGGCAGCUUUCUGGAUCAUUACUGACACUGAGGAACGAAAGCAUGGGUAGCGAAGAGGAUUAGAUACCCUCGUAGUCCAUGCCGUAAACGAUGUGUGUUAGACGUUGGAAAUUUAUUUUCAGUGUCGCAGCGAAAGCGAUAAACACACCGCCUGGGGAGUACGACCGCAAGGUUAAAACUCAAAGGAAUUGACGGGGA
Molecule: ribosomal RNA, 561 nt
Filed under: uncultured bacterium
Lineage: Bacteria
Description: bacterial SSU rRNA
Rfam family: Bacterial small subunit ribosomal RNA
Source: RNAcentral